Molecule: ribosomal RNA, 789 nt
Filed under: uncultured marine group I thaumarchaeote
Lineage: Archaea; Thermoproteati; Nitrososphaerota
Description: SSU rRNA
Rfam family: Archaeal small subunit ribosomal RNA
Source: RNAcentral
CUACCCUAUGGACAGAAUAAUCUCGGGAAACUGGGCAUAAUUCUUGAUAGAUCAUAAUGCCUGGAAUGGUUUAUGGUUAAAAUGAUUCGUCGCCAUAGGAUGGGACUGCGGCCUAUCAGCUUGUUGGUGAGGUAAUGGCCCACCAAGGCGAUUACAGGUACGGGCUCUGAGAGGAGAAGCCCGGAGAUGGGUACUGAGACACGGACCCAGGCCCUAUGGGGCGCAGCAGGCGAGAAAACUUUGCAAUGUGCGAAAGCACGACAAGGUUAAUCCGAGUGAUUUCUGCUAAAGAAAUCUUUUGCCAGUCGUAAAACCGCUGGUGAAUAAGGGGUGGGCAAGUUCUGGUGUCAGCCGCCGCGGUAAAACCAGCACCUCAAGUGGUCAGGGUGAUUAUUGGGCCUAAAGCAUCCGUAGCCUGCUCUGUAAGUUUUCGGUUAAAUCCAUGUGCUCAACGCAUGGGCUGCCGAAAAUACUGCAUAGCUAGGGAGUGGGAGAGGUAGACGGUACUCGGUAGGAAGGGGUAAAAUCCUUUGAUCUAUCGAUGACCACCUGUGGCGAAGGCGGUCUACCAGAACACGUUCGACGGUGAGGGAUGAAAGCUGGGGGAGCAAACCGGAUUAGAUACCCGGGUAGUCCCAGCUGUAAACGAUGCAGACUCGAUGAUGCAUUGGCAUAUAGCCAGUGCAGUGUCGCAGGGAAGCCGUUAAGUCUGCCGCCUGGGAAGUGCGUACGCAAGUAUGAAACUUAAGGAAUUGGCGGGGAGCACACAAGGGUGAAGCCUGCGGUUCA